UCCCUGGUAGUCCAGUUGGUAGGACUCUGUUCUUUCACUGCAGAGGGCACAGGUUUGAUCCCUGGUUGAGGAA
Molecule: non-coding RNA, 73 nt
Organism: Bos taurus (domestic cattle)
Lineage: Eukaryota; Metazoa; Chordata; Mammalia; Artiodactyla; Bovidae
Source: Rfam